Long non-coding RNA from Vigna angularis (adzuki bean), 165 nucleotides. RefSeq lists it as uncharacterized. The record is from RefSeq and is a predicted model, not a curated record. Lineage: Eukaryota; Viridiplantae; Streptophyta; Magnoliopsida; Fabales; Fabaceae. The transcript is spliced from 3 exons.
CUUGAAAUCUGAAGUAGCCAAGCAUUCAUCUGCCUUGGAGGAUCUUUUUAAAGGAAUUGCCUUAGAAGCUGAUUCAUUACUAAAUGAUCUUCAAAGUAGUCUUCACAAGCAAGAGGCGAAUUUAACAGCUUAUGCUCGUCAACAACAAGAGGCGCAUGCUAGAGC